This 253-nucleotide ribosomal RNA is filed under the name uncultured bacterium. RNAcentral describes it as "partial 16S ribosomal RNA". It matches the Rfam family "Bacterial small subunit ribosomal RNA", at positions 524 to 776 of the family's 1533-position model. The record is from RNAcentral.
UACGUAGGGGGCUAGCGUUGUCCGGAAUUAUUGGGCGUAAAGAGCGUGUAGGCGGCCAGAUAAGUCCGCUGUGAAAUCUCGAGGCUCAACUUCGAGCUGUCGGUGGAAACUAUCUGGCUAGAGUCCGGAAGAGGAGAAUGGAAUUCCUGGUGUAGCGGUGAAAUGCGCAGAUAUCAGGAAGAACACCUAUGGCGAAGGCAGCUCUCUGGGACGGUACUGACGCUGAGACGCGAAAGCGUGGGGAGCGAACAGG